UACGUAGGGGGCAAGCGUUGUCCGGAUUCAUUGGGCGUAAAGAGCGUGUAGGCGGCCAAGCAGGUCCGUUGUGAAAACUGGAGGCUUAACCUCCAGACGUCGACGGAAACCGCGUGGCUAGAGUCCGGAAGAGGAGAGUGGAAUUCCUGGUGUAGCGGUGAAAUGCGCAGAUAUCAGGAAGAACACCCGUGGCUAAGGCGGCUCUCUAGUACGGUACUGACGCUGAGACGCGAAAGCGUGGGGAGCGAACAGG
This 253-nucleotide ribosomal RNA is filed under the name uncultured bacterium. RNAcentral's name for it is "partial 16S ribosomal RNA". It matches the Rfam family "Bacterial small subunit ribosomal RNA", at positions 524 to 776 of the family's 1533-position model. The record is from RNAcentral.